UUUUUUUUUUUUCAAAUUUUAUAUGCAGAAUUCCAGUGUUAAGUAAUCAAAGUGUUUGAAAUCAAAAUAAGUCGACUCAAAUAUACUUUAUUAAUAUCACAUUGUUUAAUCUUGGACUCAACUGUUAAACAGUAGAAGAUUUGAACGAGUUUACACUAAGAAUGGAUAAUAAAACUUUUGCACAACAGUUUGCCAACUCUAAUGUGUUGGCGGAAAGUUACAAAAAUAUAUUAAAGACUUAAUUCAAAGAUAAUGUUGCUAAUCGAUUUACAGUGAAUAUUCUUUCAAAAGCAGAAAAACUCAGGUGAGCACCAAUUAGAAAGUUAGCACAAUUUCUGAUUUUUCUAUUUGUUCAUUUCGAAUGUUUUUUAUUUAUUUCUUAAAAAUGCUUUUAACUGGAUUUGUUUGUAACUUUAUGUUUCUUCAUAUAUUUUUGUCAUUUAGUGUCAAACAAAGCAUACACAAAUUAUUCGAGAUAUGGUCGAAAUUUGCAAAGAAAGUAAAACUCAAUCUAGUUUUAUUCUAAGUUAUUGUAUAUAAUUUUCAAAUUUGGAAUAGAAGUAUUGCAAUAUUUAUUUA
Hydra vulgaris (swiftwater hydra) is the source of this 579-nucleotide long non-coding RNA. RefSeq lists it as uncharacterized. Lineage: Eukaryota; Metazoa; Cnidaria; Hydrozoa; Anthoathecata; Hydridae. The record is from RefSeq and is a predicted model, not a curated record.